GGUUGUUUGGCCGAGCGGUCUAAGGCGCCUGAUUCAAGAACUCAGGAAUCGUAAGAUGCAGGAGUUCGAAUCUCCUAGCAACCA
RNAcentral lists this transfer RNA (84 nucleotides) under Kazachstania africana CBS 2517. Its description in RNAcentral is "tRNA-Leu". It matches the Rfam family "tRNA". Rfam says of the family: Transfer RNA (tRNA) molecules are approximately 80 nucleotides in length. Lineage: Eukaryota; Fungi; Ascomycota; Saccharomycetes; Saccharomycetales; Saccharomycetaceae. The record is from RNAcentral.